This is a long non-coding RNA of Dreissena polymorpha, 386 nucleotides long. RefSeq lists it as uncharacterized. The record is from RefSeq and is a predicted model, not a curated record. Lineage: Eukaryota; Metazoa; Mollusca; Bivalvia; Myida; Dreissenidae. The transcript has 3 exons.
AUAAAUAAACAAUUACAAUGUAACAACAAAUUUGAAUUAUUGAAACAAAUGAUGUUGAUUUAAAAAAAAACAUAUUGUCAAUAUGCUUACAGUGAUGAUGAGCAGCAAGAUGCUGAAAUCAACAUGACCAUGUGUACCUCAAGAUAUACACCAUCGAUGGCUGAGAAUGGCUAUAGAAGCGCAACUAUUUCUCCUCCAGACAAACCUUCACCUUCGUGUUGCAGUCAUUGCAGUCUACAUGAACGUAAUGCCUUGAAGAAGAGAAAGCUGGAGCUUCAAAUACAAUUGUUUGAGGCCCAUAAUCUAUUGAGGAAUAGAUUAUUUUGUUAUUUGUUAUUAUUGUGUUAUGAAGAUAUAGUUUAGUUAUAUUAAAAAGUUACAUGAAA